RNAcentral lists this ribosomal RNA (517 nucleotides) under uncultured bacterium. RNAcentral describes it as "partial 16S ribosomal RNA". It matches the Rfam family "Bacterial small subunit ribosomal RNA", at positions 355 to 861 of the family's 1533-position model. The record is from RNAcentral.
UGGGGAAUUUUGGACAAUGGGCGCAAGCCUGAUCCAGCCAUGCCGCGUGCGGGAAGAGGGCCUUCGGGUUGUAAACCGCUUUUGUCAGGGAAGAAAUCUUCUGAGUUAAUACCUCGGGAGGAUGACGGUACCUGAAGAAUAAGCACCGGCUAACUACGUGCCAGCAGCCGCGGUAAUACGUAGGGUGCAAGCGUUAAUCGGAAUUACUGGGCGUAAAGCGUGCGCAGGCGGUUUUGUAAGACAGAGGUGAAAUCCCCGGGCUCAACCUGGGAACUGCCUUUGUGACUGCAAGGCUUGAGUGCGGCAGAGGGGGGAUGGAAUUCCGCGUGUAGCAGUGAAAUGCGUAGAUAUGCGGAGGAACACCGAUGGCGAAGGCAAUCCCCUGGGCCUGCACUGACGCUCAUGCACGAAAGCGUGGGGAGCAAAACAGAAUUAGAUACCCUGGUAGUCCACGCCCUAAAACGAUGUCAACUGGUUGUUGGGGAAGGUCCCUUCUCAGUAACGUAGCUAACGCGUG